CCUACGGGAGGCAGCAGUGGGGAAUCUUGGACAAUGGGGGCAACCCUGAUCCAGCGACGCCGCGUGGGUGAUGAAGGCCUUCGGGUUGUAAAGCCCUUUUCCUGGGGACGAUGAUGACGGUACCUGGGGAAUAAGCACCGGCUAACUCCGUGCCAGCAGCCGCGGUAAGACGGAGGGUGCUAGCGUUGUUCGGAAUGACUGGGCGUAAAGGGCGCGUAGGCGGCCGAUCAAGUCGGGUGUGAAAGCCCGGGGCUCAACCCCGGAACGGCACCCGAUACUGGUGGGCUUGAGACCGGGAGAGGAGGGUGGAAUAUCCAGUGUAGAGGUGAAAUUCGUAGAUAUUGGAUGGAACACCAGUGGCGAAAGCGGCUCUCUGGCCCGGAUCUGACGCUGAGGCGCGAAAGCGUGGGGAGCAAACAGGAUUAGAUACCCUAGUAGUC
RNAcentral lists this ribosomal RNA (440 nucleotides) under uncultured bacterium. RNAcentral describes it as "bacterial SSU rRNA". It matches the Rfam family "Bacterial small subunit ribosomal RNA", at positions 338 to 795 of the family's 1533-position model. The record is from RNAcentral.